RNAcentral lists this unclassified non-coding RNA (358 nucleotides) under soil metagenome. RNAcentral describes it as "partial contains 5.8S ribosomal RNA, internal transcribed spacer 2, and large subunit ribosomal RNA". The stretch from base 1 to 120 matches the Rfam family "5.8S ribosomal RNA", at positions 35 to 154 of the family's 154-position model. The record is from RNAcentral.
GAUGAAGAACGUAGCGAAAUGCGAUAAGUAAUGUGAAUUGCAGAAUUCAGUAAAUCAUCGAAUCUUUGAACGCACAUUGCGCCCGUCAGUAUUCUGGCGGGCAUGCCUGUUCGAGCGUCAUUACGCCCCUCAAGUCCCCUGUGGACUUGGUGUUGGGGAUCGGCGAGGCUGGUUUUCCAGCACAGCCGUCCCUUAAAUUAAUUGGCGGUCUCGCCGUGGCCCUCCUCUGCGCAGUAGUAAAACACUCGCAACAGGAGCCCGGCGCGGUCCACUGCCGUAAAACCCCCCAACUUUUUAUAGUUGACCUCGAAUCAGGUAGGACUACCCGCUGAACUUAAGCAUAUCAAUAAGCGGAGGA